CACGCUCUUAGUCUAGAUGCCACGCAUAAACAAAUUAGGGGGUGUUUGCUUUGGGGCUGACUAAAGUUUAGUCCCUUUUAGUCCCUAAAAUACCAAACAAGAUGACUAAAAGUUGCUAAACUUUAGUCCCUAAGUUUAGUCCUUUAGUCCCCAAAGAGGUUGCUAAAAGGGACUAAAAGUGAUCUUGGACAGGGUGUGCCCCUCGUUAAUGCCCCGUGCCUCCCUCCCCCCACCCCACCCAUCC
RNAcentral lists this long non-coding RNA (244 nucleotides) under Setaria viridis. RNAcentral's name for it is "long non-coding RNA (SVIR_LNC007499)". Lineage: Eukaryota; Viridiplantae; Streptophyta; Magnoliopsida; Poales; Poaceae. The record is from RNAcentral.